UGACCGCUGGCGGCGUGCCUAAUACAUGCAAGUCGAGCGAACAGACGCGGAGCUUGCUCCUCUGACGUUAGCGGCGGACGGGUGAGUAACACGUGGAUAACCUACCUAUAAGACUGGGAUAACUUCGGGAAACCGGAGCUAAUACCGGAUAAUAUAUUGAACCGCAUGGUUCAAUAGUGAAAGACGGUUUUGCUGUCACUUAUAGAUGGAUCCGCGCCGCAUUAGCUAGUUGGUAAGGUAACGGCUUACCAAGGCGACGAUGCGUAGCCGACCUGAGAGGGUGAUCGGCCACAAUGGAACUGAGGAAAGGUCCAGACUCCUAAGGGAGGCAGCAGUAGGGAAUCUUCCGCAAUGGGCGAAAGCCUGACGGAGCAACGCCGCGUGAGUGAUGAAGGUCUUCGGAUCGUAAAACUCUGUUAUUAGGGAAGAACAAAUGUGUAAGUAACUAUGCACGUCUUGACGGUACCUAAUCAGAAAGCCACGGCUAACUACGUG
This 495-nucleotide ribosomal RNA is filed under the name uncultured bacterium. RNAcentral's name for it is "partial 16S ribosomal RNA". It matches the Rfam family "Bacterial small subunit ribosomal RNA", at positions 30 to 507 of the family's 1533-position model. The record is from RNAcentral.